GCUUGCUCAGGCAGGGAAAAUCUAAAGGUGGCUGGAAAGGAGCAAGGCUGAUGUGAACCUGUGUCAUACCCCAUUAACUGUGUUACCUGUAGCCUUGGUGGGUGGUGAGCACAGGUGCCUCCUCACUGAGAGCACACAUCCAGUUUUGACACCAUAAUUCCAUUGUCACCUCUGUGACAGCAGUUUUGAGAGCUCCUCUGAUCUACAUAAACAUGUUGAAACACAGAGUGAUUCAGGUGCCUACAGCUGUGAUGUUGGAGGAUGUGGUUUCAUUUCAUGGACUUCACCAACUUUGAGACAGCACUGCAAGACAGGGUAAUAAACAGCAGGAUAAAUAUAUAUUUCUCUAAAUGAAUCCAAAGUUUCAAAUUUAUGUGCAUUUGGUUUCGUGUGAAUUAAUGAAAUGUUUUAUUUUUUUCAUCAAAUCCAGCAUUUAUUUGCACACAUUUCUAGGACUCUUGCAAGUGUUAUGAAAUACCUGAUUUCUCCUUUUGAGUGCUUACUGCAGGUACCUGCAGUUGCAUUCUCAGAGUCUUGAACUCUGGCCAACCUCCUCCCACCUCCCUUUUUUUAAUUUUUUUUUUUUUUUUUUAAGGGAAAAAAAAUUCCCACAUGGCAAUUCUGAUCUCAACAGCAAAGUAUUUCAGGGAAUAAAAUCCAACAUCACUUUUCUGGAUUGUUACUCCAUAAUUAGAACUAAUAUGUUACCAGAAAAUAGGGGAACUUUUAAUCAUGUGAGUCUGGUCACACAUUAAAAUUCAGUUUGGGCUGCUAUAAUUUAUGCAUGCUUGCUGCCUGUUUCUUCAGCUUCCUGAGCUGUGAUCACUCCUGUAAAAUGAAUAUAUUUCAGUGGGAUCUGUCAUCCUGCUCUUGGAGAUCUGCAGUAGCAAUGGCCAGUGCAGAGAAUUUCCACCUUCACUUCCUUUGAUCAGACAAGUUCUAACAACCACAAACUGGAAAUAUUUUAGGAAGCUACUUCAAAAUUUCACCUAUUUAGUGUGAUUUUCCCCUUUUCAACAGGGGAUUAAUUUUUGUCGUGUAUAUGUGCAAGCCUUCCAUGACCCUGUCUCCCUUUCCAAGAGUAAUUCUGAAAUAUAAAUUCUAUAUCUGUCAAAAAAUUUCUCCUGGAGUUAUUCACUGACCCAACAUCUUCAUAAAGCUCAUAA
Molecule: long non-coding RNA, 1166 nt
Organism: Poecile atricapillus (Black-capped chickadee)
Lineage: Eukaryota; Metazoa; Chordata; Aves; Passeriformes; Paridae
Exons: 3
Source: RefSeq, a predicted model, not a curated record